RNAcentral lists this ribosomal RNA (500 nucleotides) under uncultured bacterium. RNAcentral describes it as "partial 16S ribosomal RNA". It matches the Rfam family "Bacterial small subunit ribosomal RNA", at positions 30 to 523 of the family's 1533-position model. The record is from RNAcentral.
AUUGAACGCUGGCGGCAUGCCUUACACAUGCAAGUCGAACGGCAGCACGGGAGCAAUCCUGGUGGCGAGUGGCGAACGGGUGAGUAAUAUAUCGGAACGUGCCCAGUCGUGGGGGAUAACGCAGCGAAAGCUGUGCUAAUACCGCAUACGAUCUACGGAUGAAAGCGGGGGAUCGCAAGACCUCGCGCGAUUGGAGCGGCCGAUAUCAGAUUAGCUAGUUGGUGAGGUAAAGGCUCACCAAGGCGACGAUCUGUAGCUGGUCUGAGAGGACGACCAGCCACACUGGAAAUGAGACACGGUCCAGACCCCUACGGGAGGCAGCAGUGGGGAAUUUUGGACAAUGGGCGAAAGCCUGAUCCAGCAAUGCCGCGUGCAGGAUGAAGGCCUUCGGGUUGUAAAGCUCUUUAGGCUGGGGGGAAGGUUGGUAGUUUAAGAGAUAAUCAACUUGACUGUACCGGCAGAAUAAGCACCGGCAAACUCUGUGCCAGCAGCCGCCGUAA